This is a long non-coding RNA of Cervus elaphus (red deer), 324 nucleotides long. RefSeq lists it as uncharacterized. NCBI's taxonomy places the organism in Eukaryota, Metazoa, Chordata, Mammalia, Artiodactyla, Cervidae. The transcript has 3 exons. The record is from RefSeq and is a predicted model, not a curated record.
CGUGAUUCAUGGCGGGUGGCGGUCAGCUGAGGGCAAUACCCCGGGGAGGAGAUGUGGCCCCCAGUGACGGAUGGAUCCCGAACAACGUUGCAGCAGCCCAGGGACUGAGUGGAGUGACAGCAUUCUUUCCUGUGACCCUGGGACAUGCUGAUUUCUUUCCAAGUAUCUAGAUGCCCUCUCAGCUGGUGUCAUCAGGUAUUUCUUGGCAUGGCAGGACACAACAGAUUGGAACUGUCACAGGGUCACAGUUCCCUGAAGUUAAAAUAAUACAGUCAACUGUGAGGAACAACUGUUGUUACUGAAUCCAGAGAGAAACAUCUCCCG